UUGCUGUAAAAAAAAAUGUCAAGUUUUUCUAUAUUUUUUUUUAAAUAACUUCGCCCUAAGUGUAUCUGAAUUAACUUUUACGUUCAUGUGCAGAAUUAAAAUUUUGUAAUUCUAACUAAAAUUUGUUCACUUAUUAGUUCAAUUUGCUUGUGAUGUAACUAGUUAAGAGCGGCACGAUGCAGCGAGUGUGAGAAUUUUACGGUAAUAAUAUUUGGUAGGGUUUUAUUAUUUUUAUAAAAGGGCAUGCGCAAGAACAAUAUUUUAAACAUCAAGUCUAUCAAUGAUUCGAAAAUAUUAUUAGGUCAAAAGUUACUGGUUGAACCAGCGACACCAGCAUGAUAUUAUAAAUAUUUAUUCAUUACUUUUUAUUUUACGAUAUAUAUAUAUAUAUAUAUAGAACUAGGCUGGAAUAUUAUUAAUAACACCAAUGACUUGGUGGUAUUAAAUUUUCUAUUCUUAGAUUAAAAGAUGUGCGGUUAGGAUGAUGUGGGCUCUCUAGGAUUGAGUGGGUGGUUAGUUGAAUAAUACAAUCGAACGGAUAAAUGAUAAAAGAGGUAAAUCUAACGGCAGAAAACUUGAUAGCAUCAAAUGAUUCGUGCUAUCGAUAGUAUCCCAGCCGGACNAUAUAUAUAUAUAUUAUUCUAAUAUUAUACUUAUUAUAAAAUACUAAUGUCUAGACUAAAUAAGUAAAUAUAUAAGUUUUAAGUUUUACUUUUUAUAAGAUUAAUCUGUGCUAAGUUAAUUUUAAGUCGUUGAAUUUUUAUAUAAUUUACAUUAAAAAAAAAAUU
This 788-nucleotide long non-coding RNA is filed under the name Ananas comosus (pineapple). RNAcentral describes it as "long non-coding RNA (ACOM_LNC001465)". The record is from RNAcentral. Lineage: Eukaryota; Viridiplantae; Streptophyta; Magnoliopsida; Poales; Bromeliaceae.